GUCUUUCUUCACUGGCUCUGCAGGUUCAAUUGCUCCUUCGGUCUUUGUACACAGAAAUCUUCUCCCAGCUAAAGCCUGAAUGAAAGGCUUUCCAUUACAGACAGUCUUUAAUUGAGAUAUUCUACCAUCCGGAUCCCAUACGCCCACUCUGGAGUUGUGAGAACACAUGGGAUAUUAGGAAGCUGAGAGGGAUCAUGCACUCAGAGAGUUCAUGAAGCAGUUAUUCUCAGAGCUGGGGAGGGAGAGAGCACUAUUGUGUUCAGCGCAGUGUGAAACAACCACAAAUAAUGAACAGAGUGUCACAUUAAAGCAGAUGAGAAAUUAA
Molecule: long non-coding RNA, 325 nt
Organism: Carassius auratus (goldfish)
Lineage: Eukaryota; Metazoa; Chordata; Actinopteri; Cypriniformes; Cyprinidae
Exons: 2
Source: RefSeq, a predicted model, not a curated record